UGUGAAAUUUGAUACUUAUAGGACAAUCAUGAUCUGCAUGACAAACUAAGUUCUUCAUGUAGAAUUGUUCAUUGUUUGACUCACAAAUUGACGGCAAGGUUGAAGAAGUGUUUCACAAAUAGAUGCAGUGAGAAGACAAUAUGACAUCCUCUCAGUGUAGUGGGGUAUGUACUCCCUUUCAGGACUUGACAAACAGCGGCAAUUUAGGUAAAUACUACUUCGACCUUGUAAAUCCUGAAUAUUUCAUUCCCUCAUAGGUCAAAAAACAGAUCCAAAAAAUUGAAGAGACAAAGGGAAAGGGAGAGGUAUGCACUAAACAGGGAUGCAAUAUUAAAAAGAAGACAUGAGGCAAGGGAUCGUAAGAAAGCUACAUCGGCUA
This 379-nucleotide long non-coding RNA is filed under the name Triticum aestivum (bread wheat). RNAcentral's name for it is "long non-coding RNA (TAES_LNC015293)". The record is from RNAcentral. Lineage: Eukaryota; Viridiplantae; Streptophyta; Magnoliopsida; Poales; Poaceae.